Oryctolagus cuniculus (rabbit) is the source of this 792-nucleotide non-coding RNA. The record is from RefSeq and is a predicted model, not a curated record. NCBI's taxonomy places the organism in Eukaryota, Metazoa, Chordata, Mammalia, Lagomorpha, Leporidae.
GCCAAGGCUAUGGAAGCCUCUUGAGUUUGCCAACUCCGAACUUAUUUAGACAAAGCCACAGUCAAAGUGGAAGUUCUCGCCUCCGUUCAGAGAGAGGGUUAGAGGAAGAAUCUGUUCCCUUGAAUUUCCUGGCUUUUAGAGGCUGCCUGUGCUUGGCCCGUAUCCUUUCCUUAGACUUCAAAGCAAGCAGAGGAACACCUGCAUGUCUCUCUGAUCUGAUUCUCCUGCUUCUCUGUUCCUCUGAGUCACUGGAUGAACAAUGAAAUUUCACAUCAAGCAAAAGUGAUGCUGUGAAUUUUACUACAAAAGGCCAUGGAACUUCCCUGCAUCUCAUGAGGCUGAGUGUAUCUCCCAGAGUGAAACCCAAUUCCUCUGCAGCUCACCAGCCAUGGUCACCCAUGGUCCACUCCUCAGGAGUGGCGACAAUGUUCAGGAAUUGCAUAUGGUGAUGGAUGCACAACACUGUGAAGAUAGUAAAUAAAGCUCACUGAAUUGCAUACUUGAAAAAGCCCACUAGAGGCAGAGCAACCAAAAGCAGGUUAAGGAAUAAAUUGCUCUUUCUGGGCCUAUAUUGAAGCAAAGACAUAGUCUUCUCUUGCGCUAAAGUUGGAACUUACAUCAUUGGAUCUACCAAUUCUCAAAACUUCAGACUUGGACUACAUCAUCAGUUGUCUCAAUACUAAAGUCUUUGGACUCAGAUUAGAACCAUUUGACAAUCUCCUGUGAGUUUCCAGGUUGAAAAUGGCAAAUCAAGGAAGUUAGCUUUCUGAGUAUACUAGCCAAUUCCUUAUA